UUGGAGUUGUUUCGUAGCGCGCUGCGCUC
RNAcentral lists this small RNA (29 nucleotides) under Bombyx mori (domestic silkworm). Its description in RNAcentral is "ovarian small RNA-38003". The record is from RNAcentral. Lineage: Eukaryota; Metazoa; Arthropoda; Insecta; Lepidoptera; Bombycidae.